This 253-nucleotide ribosomal RNA is filed under the name uncultured bacterium. RNAcentral's name for it is "partial 16S ribosomal RNA". It matches the Rfam family "Bacterial small subunit ribosomal RNA", at positions 524 to 776 of the family's 1533-position model. The record is from RNAcentral.
UACGUAGGUGGUGAGCGUUGUCCGGAUUUACUGGGCGUAAAGAGCGCGCAGGCGGUCGUUCAAGUCGCGUGUGAAAGCCCCCGGCUCAACUGGGGAGGGUCACGCGAUACUGAUCGACUCGAAGGCAGGAGAGGGUAGUGGAAUUCCCGGUGUAGUGGUGAAAUGCGUAGAUAUCGGGAGGAACACCAGUGGCGAAGGCGACUACCUGGCCUGUUCUUGACGCUGAGGCGCGAAAGCUAGGGGAGCAAACGGG